This 701-nucleotide unclassified non-coding RNA is filed under the name Hevea brasiliensis (rubber tree). Lineage: Eukaryota; Viridiplantae; Streptophyta; Magnoliopsida; Malpighiales; Euphorbiaceae. The record is from RNAcentral.
UGUGUUUGUGUGUGCAUGCGUGCGCAAGGUACAUUCCCAUUUGCAGUUUUUACCCUGUGGAGGGCAUUGCUUUAUCUGGUGGGCGAAGACAAGCCAUCGGUGUUGUAUUUCAUUUGCAUUUGAAUUUAUCGCUCCAAGCAAUUUGUCUAUGGAUGUGAGACAGACCUGAGAAGUGGCAUCGUAAAAUCUGUUUUGAGCUUUCAACAGGACAGCAUUUUUAGGAAAUAGAUCAUGCACUCUAUUGUACAGCUCCCAAUUUCCUUAAUAUUUAAUACUUGUGCUAGGGUUUAUUAUCAUCCCAUGCUAUUGUGGGCUAACAGUUUUGGUCGAUUAUCAGUUACUGCAAAAUGGCAGCAACUGGUUGGUUGAUGCAUGUUUCAUUCCAUUGACAAAACGGACGACUUUCUUUUUAAUUUUGGAUUGAUACAGUUCUACACAAGGUUCUAAUGUACAGGGAGGAAUCUUUACCCUCCAUGAUGAUGCUUUAGCAUCGAUUUAAUUCAAAAUUUACAGUUCACACUCCACAAUGGCUGUUGUUGAUAUGAUACCAAAGGAAGAGAGUUUUGUUCAGAAGAUGCUUUGUUACCCAAAAGUAAAACCAUAAGAACAUAUGAUUCAUGGUUAUAUGUGCUUAUAAUGUCCUGAUUUUCAAUGAUUGCGUUGUGAAAUUUGCCUGUAAAAAUUAAAUGAAUACAGUUUGG